GACUCCGUAGCUCAGCGGGAGAGCACUUGCUUGACAGGCAAGGGGUCGGUGGUUCGAUCCCACUCGGAGUCA
This 72-nucleotide transfer RNA is filed under the name Halalkalibacillus sediminis. It matches the Rfam family "tRNA". From Rfam's summary of the family: Transfer RNA (tRNA) molecules are approximately 80 nucleotides in length. Their secondary structure includes four short double-helical elements and three loops (D, anti-codon, and T loops). Lineage: Bacteria; Bacillati; Bacillota; Bacilli; Caryophanales; Bacillaceae. The record is from Rfam by way of RNAcentral.